AUCCUAUGUUGAGGACAUUUUUGCUGUAGUUCCUUGAACCUUUCCCAUAUCUCAAAUAGAGACUCCAAUUUCAUUUGCACGAAGGAAGAAAUCUCAUUCCUAAGCUU
This is a small nucleolar RNA of Dioscorea cayenensis subsp. rotundata (Guinea yam), 107 nucleotides long. The record is from RefSeq and is a predicted model, not a curated record. NCBI's taxonomy places the organism in Eukaryota, Viridiplantae, Streptophyta, Magnoliopsida, Dioscoreales, Dioscoreaceae.